RNAcentral lists this ribosomal RNA (301 nucleotides) under uncultured bacterium. RNAcentral describes it as "partial 16S ribosomal RNA". It matches the Rfam family "Bacterial small subunit ribosomal RNA", at positions 509 to 807 of the family's 1533-position model. The record is from RNAcentral.
CAGUCGCCGCGGUAAAACGUAGGUGGCAAGCGUUGUCCGGAAUUAUUGGGCGUAAAGGGUGCGUAGGCGGCUAUUUAAGUCAGCGGUGAAAGACUCCGGCUCAACCGGAGCAGUGCCAUUGAUACUGGAUAGCUUGAGUGUUGGAGGGGUACAUGGAAUUGAUGGUGUAGCGGUGAAAUGCAUAGAUACCAUCAGGAACACCGAUAGCGAAGGCAUUGUACUGGCCAACGACUGACGCUGAGGCACGAAAGCAUGGGGAGCGAACAGGAUUAGAGACCCCGGUAGUCCCUGUCUCUUAUAC